GCGAAGGAUGUCUUGGUUCCGGCAACGAUGAAGAACGCAGCGAAAUGCGAUACGUAAUGCGAAUUGCAGAAUUCAGUGAAUCAUCAAAUUUUUGAACGCAAAUUGCGCUCAAGCUUGCUUGAGCAUGCCUCCUUCAGUGUC
RNAcentral lists this ribosomal RNA (141 nucleotides) under Amorphochlora amoebiformis. RNAcentral's name for it is "5.8S ribosomal RNA". It matches the Rfam family "5.8S ribosomal RNA". From Rfam's summary of the family: 5.8S ribosomal RNA (5.8S rRNA) is a component of the large subunit of the eukaryotic ribosome. It is transcribed by RNA polymerase I as part of the 45S precursor that also contains 18S and 28S rRNA. The record is from RNAcentral. Lineage: Eukaryota; Cercozoa; Chlorarachniophyceae.